CAGCCGUAAACGAUGCGCGUUAGGUGUAUCGAUGACCACGAGUCAUCGAGGUGCCGAAGGGAAACCGUGAGACGCGCCGCCUGGGAAGUACGGUCGCAAGGCUGAAACUUAAAGGAAUUGGCGGGGGGAGGCACCACAACAGGUGGAGCCUGCGGUUUAAUUCGGACUCAACGCCGGAAAUCUCACCGGAUAAGACAGCUGAAUGAUAGCCGGGCUGAAGACUCUGCUUGACUAGCUGAGAGGUGGUGCAUGGCGUCAGUGACU
This 264-nucleotide ribosomal RNA is filed under the name uncultured archaeon. Its description in RNAcentral is "partial 16S ribosomal RNA". It matches the Rfam family "Archaeal small subunit ribosomal RNA", at positions 748 to 1008 of the family's 1478-position model. The record is from RNAcentral.